This 538-nucleotide ribosomal RNA is filed under the name uncultured bacterium. Its description in RNAcentral is "partial 16S ribosomal RNA". It matches the Rfam family "Bacterial small subunit ribosomal RNA", at positions 355 to 901 of the family's 1533-position model. The record is from RNAcentral.
UGGGGAAUAUUGCACAAUGGGCGCAAGCCUGAUGCAGCAACGCCGCGUGAGGGAUGACGGCCUUCGGGUUGUAAACCUCUUUUAGCAGGGAAGAAGCGAAAGUGACGGUACCUGCAGAAAAAAGCACCGGCUAACUACGUGCCAGCAGCCGCGGUAAUACGUAGGGUGCAAGCGUUGUCCGGAAUUAUUGGGCGUAAAGAGCUCGUAGGCGGUCUGUCGCGUCUGCUGUGAAAUCCCGAGGCUCAACCUCGGGCCUGCAGUGGGUACGGGCAGACUAGAGUGCGGUAGGGGAGAAUGGAACUCCUGGUGUAGCGGUGGAAUGCGCAGAUAUCAGGAAGAACACCGAUGGCGAAGGCAGUUCUCUGGGCCGUAACUGACGCUGAGGAGCGAAAAGCGUGGGGAGCGAACAGGAUUAGAUACCCUGGUAGUCCACGCCGUAAACGUUGGGCGCUAGAUGUGGGGACCAUUCCACGGUUUCCGUGUCGCAGCUAACGCAUUAAGCGCCCCGCCUGGGGAGUACGGCCGCAAGGCUAAAACU